UGGCUCAGGACGAACGCUGGCGGCGUGCCUAAUACAUGCAAGUCGAACGCUUCUUUUUCCACCGGAGCUUGCUCCACCGGAAAAAGAGGAGUGGCGAACGGGUGAGUAACACGUGGGUAACCUACCCUCAAGCGGGGGAUAACACUUGGAAACAGGUGCUAAUACCGCAUAACAAUACCAAACACAUGUUUAGUAUUUGAAAGGCGCUUUUGCGUCACUUGAGGAUGGACCCGCGGUGCAUUAGCUAGUUGGUGAGGUAACGGCUCACCAAGGCCACGAUGCAUAGCCGACCUGAGAGGGUGAUCGGCCACACUGGGACUGAGACACGGCCCAGACUCCUACGGGAGGCAGCAGUAGGGAAUCUUCGGCAAUGGACGAAAGUCUGACCGAGCAACGCCGCGUGAGUGAAGAAGGUUUUCGGAUCGUAAAACUCUGUUGUUAGAGAAGAACAAGGAUGAGAGUAAAAUGUUCAUCCCUUGACGGUAUCUAACCAGAAAGCCACGGCUAACUACGUGCCAGCAGCCGCGGUAAUACGUAGGUGGCAAGCGUUGUCCGGAUUUAUUGGGCGUAAAGCGAGCGCAGGCGGUUUCUUAAGUCUGAUGUGAAAGCCCCCGGCUCAACCGGGGAGGGUCAUUGGAAACUGGGAGACUUGAGUGCAGAAGAGGAGAGUGGAAUUCCAUGUGUAGCGGUGAAAUGCGUAGAUAUAUGGAGGAACACCAGUGGCGAAGGCGGCUCUCUGGUCUGUAACUGACGCUGAGGCUCG
RNAcentral lists this ribosomal RNA (763 nucleotides) under Enterococcus sp. SMC-9. RNAcentral's name for it is "bacterial SSU rRNA". It matches the Rfam family "Bacterial small subunit ribosomal RNA", at positions 20 to 755 of the family's 1533-position model. The record is from RNAcentral. Lineage: Bacteria; Bacillati; Bacillota; Bacilli; Lactobacillales; Enterococcaceae.